CCCUGGUUGGCUUAGUCAGCAGAGCAUGUGACUCUUGAUCUUGGGGUUGUGAGUCUGAGUCUCACAUUGGGUG
This 73-nucleotide transfer RNA is filed under the name Canis lupus familiaris (dog). It matches the Rfam family "tRNA". From Rfam's summary of the family: Transfer RNA (tRNA) molecules are approximately 80 nucleotides in length. Their secondary structure includes four short double-helical elements and three loops (D, anti-codon, and T loops). RNAcentral also lists the same sequence under 1 other name. Lineage: Eukaryota; Metazoa; Chordata; Mammalia; Carnivora; Canidae. The record is from Rfam by way of RNAcentral.